This 180-nucleotide unclassified non-coding RNA is filed under the name uncultured Clavaria. Its description in RNAcentral is "partial internal transcribed spacer 2". Lineage: Eukaryota; Fungi; Basidiomycota; Agaricomycetes; Agaricales; Clavariaceae. The record is from RNAcentral.
UCGCAUCUCAACGCAAGUUGGACGUUGAAGGCGUGCUGGUGACGAGCCAGCUCCUUUUAAACGCAUUGCAGAGCUUGCGCUGUUUGCUGGCUUUGGUUUGAUAAUCGUUAUCUGUGCCUUUGCUGGACGGCUUCUCUGUUGGUCAUUUUUUAAUGACUGUCCCUCGUGGGCAUCUAUCGA